This 85-nucleotide transfer RNA is filed under the name Clostridiaceae bacterium. Its description in RNAcentral is "tRNA-Asp". The stretch from base 9 to 82 matches the Rfam family "tRNA". Rfam says of the family: Transfer RNA (tRNA) molecules are approximately 80 nucleotides in length. The record is from RNAcentral. Lineage: Bacteria; Bacillati; Bacillota; Clostridia; Eubacteriales; Clostridiaceae.
GGCCUGGUAGUCUGGUAGUUCAGUUGGUUAGAAUGCCAGCCUGUCACGCUAGAGGUCGAGGGUUCGAGUCCCUUCCAGGUCGCCA